RNAcentral lists this ribosomal RNA (494 nucleotides) under uncultured bacterium. RNAcentral describes it as "bacterial SSU rRNA". It matches the Rfam family "Bacterial small subunit ribosomal RNA", at positions 29 to 514 of the family's 1533-position model. The record is from RNAcentral.
AGUGAACGCUGGCGGCAGGCCUAAUACAUGCAAGUCGAACGGCAGCACAGCAGAGCUUGCUCUGUGGGUGGCGAGUGGCGGACGGGUGAGGAAUACAUGGGAAUCUGCCCAGUCGUGGGGGAUAACGUAUGGAAACGUACGCUAAUACCGCAUGCGCCCUACGGGGGAAAGCCGGGGACCUUCGGGCCUGGCGCGAUUGGAUGAGCCCAUGUUCGAUUAGCUAGUUGGCGGGGUAAAAGCCCACCAAGGCGACGAUCGAUAGCUGGUCUGAGAGGAUGAUCAGCCACACUGGAACUGAGACACGGUCCAGACUCCUACGGGAGGCAGCAGUAGGGAAUAUUGGACAAUGGGGGCAACCCUGAUCCAGCCAUGCCGCGUGAGUGAAGAAGGCCCUCGGGUUGUAAAGCUCUUUUGUCCGGAAGAAAAGCAUUCGGUUAAUACCGGGUGUUCUGACGGUACCGGAAGAAUAGCACCGGCUAACUUCGUGCCAGCAG